Molecule: long non-coding RNA, 706 nt
Organism: Daphnia carinata
Lineage: Eukaryota; Metazoa; Arthropoda; Branchiopoda; Diplostraca; Daphniidae
Exons: 3
Source: RefSeq, a predicted model, not a curated record
ACGAAAACUUGCGGAUACUGUGGCAGAUCAACCGGGCUGGUCCAUCUUAUAUAGUUGAGAAGGGUUGGACGGUCGACCUUAUAACUCCAUUAUGGCAAUUCGUCGUGCAGAGGGGGGAAAUGAUGAUCCUAGUACAACAGGUAUUUGAAGGCAAUGCAUGCUCAAGAUUCAAAAGAUUUCAGCCCAAAUCCGGGAAUGGCGAUUGCAGGCGGAUUACGGGAUAAGUGAUGCUCUUUUCUAGAUGGAAGAGUACGACGUAAGCCGCUCUGAAUAAAAAGCCAUUUCAAGUUUGAGCUUUCAAUCCAUAUUUUGAAAGGCAUUGACGCUUUUCACGGGAUUUGAGUUCAAGGUAGAACGUUUCGUUUGCGGACAUGCCCUUGGAUCUUAGAAUCACGCUCCAGAAAAGAGGACCUAUUUCUAUCUGGGUGUGCGCGGAAAACGGAGAAUGAGGAAAAGAAGUUCGUGCCGUUUAAAACAUUUCCGGAAUGUCGACCGUACGUGGUUUAAAGAAUAGGUAGGGGUUAUAAAACAACACGUACGGAUGUUUCCAGCAGGGAAACUAGCCUUCUUCGAGUCAUUGGUUUAAUGCCCAUAAACUGAUUGUGAUUUGAAAAUUUGAUUCACUGUACAUUUUGUCCCAUGGAUGAGGCUGCUAAGGUAUGUUGGAGCAUGACUAAAUGGGUCUAUAUAGUGUGGUUUUAUGUGU